RNAcentral lists this ribosomal RNA (253 nucleotides) under uncultured bacterium. RNAcentral's name for it is "partial 16S ribosomal RNA". It matches the Rfam family "Bacterial small subunit ribosomal RNA", at positions 524 to 776 of the family's 1533-position model. The record is from RNAcentral.
UACGUAGGGUGCGAGCGUUGCCCGGAUUUAUUGGGAGUAAAGGGCGCGUAGGCGGCUCGGCACGUCCGUUGUGAAAUCGCCCGGCUCAACUGGGCGGGGUCAGCGGAUACGGUCGAGCUUGAGCAAGCUAGGGGGUAAUGGAAUUCCCGGUGUAGUGGUGGAAUGCGUAGAUAUCGGGAGGAACACCAGUGGCGAAGGCGGUUACCUGGGGCUUUGCUGACGCUGAUGCGCGAAAGCGUGGGGAGCGAUCCGG